UACGGAGGGUGCGAGCGUUGUUCGGAAUCAUUGGGCGUAAAGCGCGUGUAGGCGGCCCGGUAAGUCCGCUGUGAAAGUCCAGGGCUCAACCCUGGGAUGCCGGUGGAUACUGUCGGGCUCGAGUCCGGAAGAGGCGAGUGGAAUUCCUGGUGUAGCGGUGAAAUGCGCAGAUAUCAGGAGGAACACCAAUGGCGAAGGCAGCUCGCUGGGACGUGACUGACGCUGAGACGCGAAAGCGUGGGGAGCAAACAGG
This 253-nucleotide ribosomal RNA is filed under the name uncultured bacterium. RNAcentral describes it as "partial 16S ribosomal RNA". It matches the Rfam family "Bacterial small subunit ribosomal RNA", at positions 524 to 776 of the family's 1533-position model. The record is from RNAcentral.